GGGGAUUUAGCUCAGUGAUAGAGCGCUUGCCUAGCAAGCGCAAGGCCCUGGGUUCAGUCCCCA
This is a non-coding RNA of Rattus norvegicus (Norway rat), 63 nucleotides long. The record is from Rfam. Lineage: Eukaryota; Metazoa; Chordata; Mammalia; Rodentia; Muridae.